GCCCGGGUAGCUCAGCCCGGUAGAGCGGCCGGCUGUUAACCGGCAGGUCCCCGGUUCGAAUCCGGGCCCGGGCG
Molecule: transfer RNA, 74 nt
Filed under: Nanoarchaeum equitans Kin4-M
Lineage: Archaea; Nanobdellati; Nanobdellota; Candidatus Nanoarchaeia; Nanoarchaeales; Nanoarchaeaceae
Description: tRNA-Asn (GTT) (tRNA-Asn-GTT-1-1)
Rfam family: tRNA
About the family: Transfer RNA (tRNA) molecules are approximately 80 nucleotides in length.
Source: Rfam by way of RNAcentral